GACGAACGCUGGCGGCGUGCUUAACACAUGCAAGUCGAACGGAAAGGCCCUGCUUGCGGGGUACUCGAGUGGCGAACGGGUGAGUAACACGUGGGUGAUCUGCCCUGCACUUCGGGAUAAGCCUGGGAAACUGGGUCUAAUACCGGAUAGGAGCCAUUUUUAGUGUGAUGGUUGGAAAGUUUUUUCGGUGUAGGAUGAGCUCGCGGCCUAUCAGCUUGUUGGUGGGGUAAUGGCCUACCAAGGCGGCGACGGGUAGCCGGCCUGGGAGGGUGGACGGCCACAUUGGGACUGAGAUACGGCCCAGACUCCUACGGGAGGCAGCAGUGGGGAAGAUUGCACAAGGGGCGCAAGCCUGAUGCAGCGACGCCGCGUGGGGGAUGACGGCCUUCGGGUUGUAAUCUCCUUUCGCUAGGGACGAAGCUUUUUGUGACGGUACCUAGAUAAGAAGCACCGGCUAACUACGUG
RNAcentral lists this ribosomal RNA (465 nucleotides) under uncultured bacterium. RNAcentral's name for it is "partial 16S ribosomal RNA". It matches the Rfam family "Bacterial small subunit ribosomal RNA", at positions 28 to 507 of the family's 1533-position model. The record is from RNAcentral.